AGUUUAAUAAAAAUAAAUAAUAUGAUACAUUAAUAUUAAAAUAUAAAAAUAAAAUUAUUUUAAUAAAAUUAUAAAAUAUAAGGCAUAUCAUAAAUAAUUAAUUAUAUUAUAAACUAAUUAAUAAAGUGCCAGCAGUUGCGGUUAUACUUAUUAUAUAAUCAUAUUAUUAUAUAUUAUAAUAAAUAUAUUAAUUAAAAUAUAAAUAUAAAGUAAAAUUUUUCUUUCAAAAAUUUAAAAAUUAUUAAAUAAUUAAACUUUUAAAUAUAAAAUAGGAUUAGAAACCCUAGUAUAUAAAAUAUUUAAGGUAGUAAAAUUAAUUAAAACCUAUUUAUACAGACGGCUUUUUAUUUUAUUAGAGGAACCUGUUCAAUAAUAGAUACUACACAAUUAUUUUCACUUUAAUUAAAAAUUUACAUAUCGCCAUCUUAAAACUUUACAACAAAAUAUACUUAAAAUAAAUAAUAAUAAGUUAGGUCAAGGUGUAAUCUAUAUUAAUAGAUGAAAUGGGUUACAUUUAAUACAUUAAAGAAUUUUAUAAAUUUAUUUAUAAAUGAAAAAGGAUUUAAAUGCAAUAUGUAUAAAAUCAUAUACAUAUGAAUUAAAUAAUAAAAGUGUACAUAUCGCCCGUCACCCUUAUCAAUUUUAAAGUUAAGGUAAGUCGUAACAUAGUUGUUAUUUUGGAAAAAGUAUCAAG
Molecule: non-coding RNA, 694 nt
Filed under: Philodromus sp.
Lineage: Eukaryota; Metazoa; Arthropoda; Arachnida; Araneae; Philodromidae
Source: RNAcentral